Molecule: transfer RNA, 75 nt
Filed under: Fibroporia radiculosa
Lineage: Eukaryota; Fungi; Basidiomycota; Agaricomycetes; Polyporales; Fibroporiaceae
Description: tRNA-Ala (AGC) (tRNA-Ala-AGC-2-1, tRNA-Ala-AGC-2-2)
Rfam family: tRNA
About the family: Transfer RNA (tRNA) molecules are approximately 80 nucleotides in length. Their secondary structure includes four short double-helical elements and three loops (D, anti-codon, and T loops).
Source: RNAcentral
GGGCAUGUGGUGUAGUUGGUUUAUCACGCUCGCUUAGCAUGCGAGAGGGGUCCGGUUCGAUCCCGGACAUGUCCA